Molecule: ribosomal RNA, 467 nt
Filed under: uncultured bacterium
Lineage: Bacteria
Description: partial 16S ribosomal RNA
Rfam family: Bacterial small subunit ribosomal RNA
Source: RNAcentral
GACGAACGCUGGCGGCGUGCUUAACACAUGCGAGUCGAACGGAAAGGCCCUGCUUUUGUGGGGUGCUCGAGUGGCGAACGGGUGAGUAACACGUGAGUAACCUGCCCUUGACUUUGGGAUAACUUCAGGAAACUGGGGCUAAUACCGGAUAGGAGCUCCUGCUGCAUGGUGGGGGUUGGAAAGUUUCGGCGGUUGGGGAUGGACUCGCGGCUUAUCAGCUUGUUGGUGGGGUAGUGGCUUACCAAGGCUUUGACGGGUAGCCGGCCUGAGAGGGUGACCGGCCACAUUGGGACUGAGAUACGGCCCAGACUCCUACGGGAGGCAGCAGUGGGGAAUAUUGCACAAUGGGCGGAAGCCUGAUGCAGCAACGCCGCGUGCGGGAUGACGGCCUUCGGGUUGUAAACCGCUUUCGCCUGUGACGAAGCGUGAGUGACGGUAAUGGGUAAAGAAGCACCGGCGAACUACGU